CAUGUCUUUUUGAUUAUAAUUUAAGGUCUAAUCUGCUCAAUGAUUAUAUUAAAUUGCCGCAGUAUUUUGACUGUGCAAAGGUAGCAUAAUAAUUAGUUUCUUAAUUAGGAACUGGGAUGAAUGAUUGGACAAGAAAAUUUCUGUCUCUCUUUUAAAAUUUGAAUUUUAUUUUUAAGUGAAAAAGCUUAAAUUUUUAUAAAAGACGAGAAGACCCUAUAGAGUUUAAUAAAUUAAUUAAAUUAAUUUUUAGGAAUAUUUAUUGUAAUAAUUUAUUUAGUUGGGGUGACUAAAAGAUUAAAAAAAUUCUUUAAUUGUUAAGUUAAUAAUUUUUAAUUUUUAUAUUUAAAAUUGUUAAAUUUAAAAUAAAUUACCUUAGGGAUAACAGCGUAAUUUUUCUUAAAAGUUCUUAUUUAAAGGAAAGUUUGCGACCUCGAUGUUGGAUUAAAAUUAAUUUUUGGUGCAAUAACUUAAAAAUUAGGUCUGUUCGACCUUUAAAAUUUUACAUGAUCUGAGUUUAAACCGGUGUAAACCAGGUUGGAUUCUAUCUUUAGAAAAUAAAAUAUAUUUUAGUACGAAAGGACCAAAUAUAUAUUAAAUUAAUUG
This 603-nucleotide ribosomal RNA is filed under the name Sulabanus cordatus. Its description in RNAcentral is "partial 16S ribosomal RNA". It matches the Rfam family "Bacterial large subunit ribosomal RNA", at positions 1816 to 2714 of the family's 2925-position model. Lineage: Eukaryota; Metazoa; Arthropoda; Insecta; Coleoptera; Lycidae. The record is from RNAcentral.